AUGAGCCAACUGACGCCGGCGCCCGAUGCGUGGAACUUCGCGCCGGACGAAGCCCUCCUCGGCCUGUCGGCGCUGUCGGUGCGCUCCGUGCUGGGCAGCAUCAAGGCCGGGAUGGACCCGGGCAGCGACCGCCCGGUGAUCCCGCUCGGGCACGGCGACCCUUCGGCAUUCCCGUGCUUCCGCACUGCGCCGGAGGCCGUGGAAGCCGUCUCCGCCGCGCUCCACUCGGGGGAGCACAACUCCUACCCCACCGGCGUCGGGCUGGAGCCGGCGCGGCGCUCCAUCGCGCGUCACCUGUCCCUCGACCUGCCCUACGAGCUCUCCCCGGACGACGUCUACCUCACGAGCGGCUGCUCCCAGGCGAUCGAGAUCGUCUGCUCCGUGCUCGCCGGCCGUCCCGGCGCCAGCAACAUCCUGCUCCCGCGGCCCGGGUACCUGUUCUACGAGGCGCGCGCCGCGUUCAACGGCAUGGAGGUCCGCUACUUCGACCUCCUCCCGGACAGCGACUGGGAGGCGGACCUCGACGCCGUGGAGGCCCUCGCCGACGGGAACACCGUCGGCAUGGUCCUCGUCAACCCCGGCAACCCCUGCGGCAACGUCUACAGCUACGACCAUCUCGCCAAGGUCGCCGAGACGGCGAGGAAGCUUGGCAUCUUCGUCAUCGCUGACGAAGUGUACGCGCACCUGACGUUCGGGAAGAACCGGUUCGUCCCGAUGGGCGUGUUUGGCUCCGUGGCCCCGGUGCUCACCCUGGGAUCCAUCUCCAAGAGAUGGGUGGUGCCUGGAUGGCGGCUUGGAUGGAUCGUGACCAACGAUCCUAAUGGUGUAUUUCGCAGGACCAAGCUUGUGGAAAGCAUCAAGAGUUACCUUGAAAUCUCCUGUGAUCCUGCAACGUUUGUUCAGGGAGCAAUCCCAGAACUCCUGGAGAACACAAAGCAAGAAUUCUUCAGCAAGACCGUGGACAUUCUCAGACAAACCGCAGAUAUAUGCUGGGAGAAGCUCAAGGGCAUCUGUGGCAUCACUUGCCCAAGCAAACCAGAGGGCUCCAUGUUUGUAAUGGUGAAACUGGACUUGUCCUGCCUUCAGGACAUCAAAGAUGACAUGGACUUCUGCUGCAAGCUGGCAAAAGAGGAGUCAGUGGUUGUUUUGCCAGGAUGUGCUGUGGGAUACAAGAAUUGGGUCCGGAUCACGUUCGCAAUCGGGCCGUCUUCUCUCGAAGACGGCCUUGACAGGCUCAAGUCCUUCUGCUCGCGACACAGCGAGACUAAGAAGUGA
RNAcentral lists this ribosomal RNA (1275 nucleotides) under Triticum aestivum (bread wheat). RNAcentral describes it as "partial small subunit ribosomal RNA". The record is from RNAcentral. Lineage: Eukaryota; Viridiplantae; Streptophyta; Magnoliopsida; Poales; Poaceae.